Molecule: unclassified non-coding RNA, 328 nt
Filed under: soil metagenome
Description: partial contains 5.8S ribosomal RNA, internal transcribed spacer 2, and large subunit ribosomal RNA
Rfam family: 5.8S ribosomal RNA (bases 1-120)
Source: RNAcentral
GAUGAAGAACGUAGUGAAAUGCGAUAAGUAAUGUGAAUUGCAGAAUUCAGUGAAUCAUCGAAUCUUUGAACGCACAUUGCGCCCUCUGGUAUUCCGGGGGGCAUGCCUGUUCGAGCGUCAUUAUAACCACUCAAGCUCUCGCUUGGUAUUGGGGUUCGCGGUUCCGCGGCCCCUAAAAUCAGUGGCGGUGCCUGUCGGCUCUACGCGUAGUAAUACUCCUCGCGAUUGAGUCCGGUAGGUCUACUUGCCAGCAACCCCCAAUUUUUACAGGUUGACCUCGGAUCAGGUAGGGAUACCCGCUGAACUUAAGCAUAUCAUAAGCGGAGGA